This 275-nucleotide long non-coding RNA is filed under the name Capsella rubella. Its description in RNAcentral is "long non-coding RNA (CRUB_LNC004703)". The record is from RNAcentral. Lineage: Eukaryota; Viridiplantae; Streptophyta; Magnoliopsida; Brassicales; Brassicaceae.
UAUCUUCUUACAAAGCUAGUUCGCCAAAAGAAAAAAAAAUUAAUCGAUGGGGAAAGAAGAGGAUCCAAAAAAAAAAUCAAGACAUGUUAUGUAUUAUAAGUUUUUCAUCAGGGAUUGUAAUUAAUGUGUUUAACACAAAACACAAUGUUCAAGAAAACUGGGAGGCAUUGAGAAGACAGAGGAUUGCAUCAGGCAAAAGCUAUAUCUUAGAACAGUGAAAGAACGAAUGUUAAUCAUGGCAAAUGACAACUUGAAAGAUAUACCCUGACGAUCAA